CAAUAGCGUAUAUUAAAGUUGUUGCGGUUAAAAAGCUCGUAGUUGGAGUUCUGCCAGGUGCCGCCUGUCCGCCCCAGUGGUGAGUACGUGGCGCGCAUUUGGCCCUUUCAAGGGGAGCGUAUCUGCACUUUAUUGUGUGGUGCGGGAUCCUUGACUUUUACUUUGAGGAAAUAGGAGUGUUCCAAGCAGGCUCUCGUCGCGCACAGCUCAGCAUGGAAUAAUAGCAUUGGACCUCGAUUCUAAGCUGUUGGUUGCCAGAAGCGAGGUAAUGAUGAAGAGGGAUAGUUGGGGGCAUUCGUAUUUAACUGUCAGAGGUGAAAUUCUUGGAUUCGUUAAAGACGGACUACUGCGAAAGCAUCUGCCAUGGAUGUUUUCAUUGA
RNAcentral lists this ribosomal RNA (380 nucleotides) under uncultured eukaryote. Its description in RNAcentral is "partial 18S ribosomal RNA". It matches the Rfam family "Eukaryotic small subunit ribosomal RNA", at positions 592 to 976 of the family's 1831-position model. The record is from RNAcentral.